UACGAAGGGGGCUAGCGUUGCUCGGAAUCACUGGGCGUAAAGCGCACGUAGGCGGCCUCAUAAGUCGGAUGUGAAAUCCCUCGGCUCAACCGAGGACGUGCAUCCGAAACUGCGAGGCUCAAGUAUGGAAGAGGGUCGCAGAAUUCCCGGUGUAGCGGUGAAAUGCGCAGAUAUCAGGAGGAACACCGGUGGCGAAGGCGGGUCUCUGGGCAACAACUGACGCUGAGGAGCGAAAGCGUGGGGAGCGAACAGG
This 253-nucleotide ribosomal RNA is filed under the name uncultured bacterium. RNAcentral describes it as "partial 16S ribosomal RNA". It matches the Rfam family "Bacterial small subunit ribosomal RNA", at positions 524 to 776 of the family's 1533-position model. The record is from RNAcentral.